GAUGAACGCUGGCGGCGUGCCUAAUACAUGCAGGUCGAGCGAACGGACGAGGAGCUUGCUUCUCUGAUGUUAGCGGCGGACGGGUGAGUAACACGUGGAUAACCUACCUAUAAGACUGGGAUAACUUCGGGAAACCGGAGCUAAUACCGGAUAAUAUUUUGAACCGCAUGGUUCAAUAGUGAAAGACGGUCUUGCUGUCACUUAUAGAUGGAUCCGCGCUGCAUUAGCUAGUUGGUAAGGUAACGGCUUACCAAGGCAACGAUGCAUAGCCGACCUGAGAGGGUGAUCGGCCACACUGGAACUGAGACACGGUCCAGACUCCUACGGGAGGCAGCAGUAGGGAAUCUUCCGCAAUGGGCGAAAGCCUGACGGAGCAACGCCGCGUGAGUGAUGAAGGUCUUCGGAUCGUAAAACUCUGUUAUUAGGGAAGAACAUAUGUGUAAGUAACUGUGCACAUCUUGACGGUACCUAAUCAGAAAGCCACGGCUAACUACGUG
Molecule: ribosomal RNA, 497 nt
Filed under: uncultured bacterium
Lineage: Bacteria
Description: partial 16S ribosomal RNA
Rfam family: Bacterial small subunit ribosomal RNA
Source: RNAcentral